GAAAUGCGAUAAGUAAUGUGAAUUGCAGAAUUCAGUGAAUCAUCGAAUCUUUGAACGCACAUUGCGCCCCUUGGUAUUCCGAGGGGCAUGCCUGUUCGAGCGUCAUUAACAACCCUCAAGCACUGCUUGGUGUUGGGCUCCGCGGCUUACCCCGCGGGCCUUAAAAUCAGUGGCGGCGUCUUCGGGCUCUGAACGUAGUAAAUUUCCUCGUUACGGAGUCCUGGCGGCGGUAGUCAUUAACCCCUCAACUUUCUACGUUUGACCUCGGAUCAGGUAGGGAUACCCGCUGAACUUAA
RNAcentral lists this unclassified non-coding RNA (296 nucleotides) under uncultured Helotiales. RNAcentral describes it as "sequence contains ITS1". The stretch from base 1 to 105 matches the Rfam family "5.8S ribosomal RNA", at positions 50 to 154 of the family's 154-position model. Lineage: Eukaryota; Fungi; Ascomycota; Leotiomycetes; Helotiales. The record is from RNAcentral.